GACGAACGCUGGCGGCGUGCUUAACACAUGCAAGUCGAACGGAAAGGCCCUGCUUUUGUGGGGUGCUCGAGUGGCGAACGGGUGAGUAACACGUGAGUAACCUGCCCUUGACUUUGGGAUAACUUCAGGAAACUGGGGCUAAUACCGGAUAGGAGCUCCUGCUGCAUGGUGGGGGUUGGAAAGUUUCGGCGGUUGGGGAUGGACUCGCGGCUUAUCAGCUUGUUGGUGGGGUAGUGGCUUACCAAGGCUUUGACGGGUAGCCGGCCUGAGAGGGUGACCGGCCCCAUUGGGACUGAGAUACGGCCCAGACUCCUACGGGAGGCAGCAGGGGGGAAUAUUGCACAAAGGGGGGAAGCCUGAAGCAGCAACGCCGGGUGGGGGAUGACGGCCUUCGGGGUGUAAACCGCUUUCGCCUGUGACGAAGGGUGAGUGACGGUAAUGGGUAAAGAAGCAACGGCUAACUACGUG
This 468-nucleotide ribosomal RNA is filed under the name uncultured bacterium. RNAcentral describes it as "partial 16S ribosomal RNA". It matches the Rfam family "Bacterial small subunit ribosomal RNA", at positions 28 to 507 of the family's 1533-position model. The record is from RNAcentral.